This 2030-nucleotide unclassified non-coding RNA is filed under the name Amphibalanus amphitrite. RNAcentral describes it as "pro-resilin-like, transcript variant X5". Lineage: Eukaryota; Metazoa; Arthropoda; Thecostraca; Balanomorpha; Balanidae. The record is from RNAcentral.
CAGUCGGGCCCCAGCCAAGUCAGCAUGUGCACUGUGCGGUGUUUCAGAGAGAGGAUCGCCGUCCGAGAGCACCCCAUAUUCUCUCCUCCGUGUAGGGCGGAGGUCACGGCGGAGGUCACGGAGGUCACGGCGGAGGGCACAGCUACGGCAAAGGUCGCGGCAAGGGCGGCAAGUUCAACAUCGGCUCGCUGUUCUCCAAGAAGGGCCGCCUGUUCAGCGGCAUCAAGCACAAGAUCAGCGGCAUCACGCACAAGUUCAGCGGCCUCAAGCAGAAGCUGGGCGGCCUCGUAGGCGCCGUGAAGGCGCCGCUGGUGCUAAUCAAGGGAAAGCUGCUGCGCAAAGGAGGUCGCCUGCUUACUACCAAGGGACGGUUCCUCACCAGUUUGGCCAACAAGCUGACCAGCAAGUUCAACAAGGGCGGAGGGCACGGCGGGUACAGUGGAGGCCACAGCGGUGGAUACGGCGGAGCCGGUGGCGGGCACAUCUCCGUCCGGCCUUCGACCACCUACGGGGCGCCCUCUAGGCCCAGCAGCGGGUACGGGGCGCCCUCUAGGCCCAGCAGCGGGUACGGGGCGCCCUCUAGGCCCAGCAGCGGGUACGGGGCGCCCUCUAGGCCCAGCAGCGGGCACGGGGCGCCCUCUAGGCCUAGCAGCGGGUACGGGGCGCCCUCUAAGCCCAGCAACGACUACGGGGCGCCCUCUAGUGGAGGUCAUGGCGGCGGAUCCGGACACUCCUCCGGAGGUCACGGCGGCGGAUCCGGACACUCCUCCGGAGGUCACGGCGGCGGAUCCGGACACUCCUCCGCAGGUCACGGCGGCGGGUCGUCCGGUCACGACGGCCGCUCGCUCUCGGGCGGCUCGGUCUCCAGCUACUCGUCGUACGCCUAGGACAGAACAUGGAACAUGAAGUUCACACCAGGCAACACAACCGGCCUGCCCGUCUGGCAUCACCUGUCUGGAAGCCCUCACCUGGCAUCACUCGUCUGGCAGCUCUCUCAGUGUAGCCGGACGCUAUCCGGGCAACUCUCUGUCCGGAGAUUUAUUCCGUGCGACUCCGUCCGGAGACUCCCUACGUGCACCUCACUGGAGACGCAGUCCGGACAACUCUCUAUGUGUGUCCGGAACUUGCUGUCCGGAGGACACUGUCCGGAGCUCUCUGUCUGGACAGUCUGUCUGGAGAGUCUGUCUGUGGGACAGUCUGCCGCAUGUGACAGAUCGUGGCAGAGCAACCACAGAUCCGUGCUGUUUUCGACCUCACCACCUGUCGGGCUCCACCCGCCUACACACACAUCAAAUGCAGCGCCGACGACAAACCGUCUUCCACCAUCACGUUUAGAAGUGCCUGUGUAUGUAGUGUGUAGUAGGUUUUAUGACUCAGAUAAGAACAACCUCUAACAGUGUAUAUCUAUCAGCGCCAUUUUUACGUCAAUAUAUGCUCGGUGAUGCCGUUUGGGGCUGAAGGUAGAUAGAAUCGCGGUGUGAUUGGUGUAUUAGGUAGCAAAUGAGCUAAAGUGCAGCAAUAAUCAAACUCUGCGUCGCUCGUUCCCUGCCACCGUGUGAGCGUGUGUCCGGGCCCGGGACCGGUGGCUGCGGGUCGCCCAGUGACGUCACACCGGUGGCUGCGGGUCGCCCGGUGACGUCACACCGGUGGCUGCGGGUCGCCCGGUGACGUCACAUCGGUGGCUGCGGGCCGCCCGUUGACGUCACACCGGUGGCUGCGGGUCGCCCGGUGACGUCACACCGGCUCACGGUGCGGCCGGUCGUGUUCGGCCGCCGGCUGUUGCCGCCGCCGGGCGGCUCAACCACCAAUCGGUGAACAGAGCGCGCGUAAGGCCGGCGCUGAGACGUCAGUCCGACGCGUUAGGCCGCGUUAGGCCGGCGGUAACACGCGGCUGGUACGGGAUAACAGCGGUGUAACACACGCCAUGUUAACUCACUGUGAACAGGGUCCACAAAUAUAGAGACAGCGUCAUCGCGGCAGCCCACGGUAUUUGCCCCUGAGAGCAGUCGCCAAAUAAAUGUCAUCCGACA